Molecule: long non-coding RNA, 339 nt
Organism: Carcharodon carcharias (great white shark)
Lineage: Eukaryota; Metazoa; Chordata; Chondrichthyes; Lamniformes; Lamnidae
Exons: 3
Source: RefSeq, a predicted model, not a curated record
CUUAAAACCGGUUACCUCUCUAAUAUUUUCCAGUUCUGAAUGAUCUGAAACCUUUGCUGGAAUCUACCCAGCCCCACGAAGACAGAAUGAUUUAGCACGGUAGAUAAAGGGGAGCCAGUGGAUGUCACAUGCUAUAUCUCGAUGAGAUGCCUCACCGGAUUCUCACACAAGCUUAGGGCUCACAGAGCUCAGGGUGAUAUUUAGCAUGGUUAACAAACAUAAACAAACCGAACAAAUAAGUUGCAAGUAUGACCUUUUGCAAUCCUACAACCUGGGUUCUCUUUCUGACAAUUACGAGCAACACGGAAAAUCAGGCAAAAAAAGUGUACAAAACUGAAU